CAGGAGGAUGAAGUAGUGGUGAGGUUGGACUCCCAAGAUGUCUGUAAGACGGACAGUUUUAAGUAUCUUGGGUCUACAAUUCAGGGGAAUGGUGAAAUCGAUGAAGAUGUCUCUAAACGUAUUGGAAUAGGUUGGAUAAAGUGGAGACUCGCCUCGGGAGUGUUGUGUGAUAAGAAGGUGCCCCUUAAGCUUAAAGGCAGAUUCUAUAGAGUGGCAGUCCGGCCGGCCAUGUUGUAUGGGGGCAGAGUGUUGGCCAGUCAAGCACUCUCACAUCCAAAAAUUGAAAGUGGCGGAAAUGAGAAUGUUGCGUUGUAUGUGUGGGCUUACUAGAGGGGACAGAGUUAGGAAUGAGAUUAUCUGGGAGAAGGUGGGGGUAGCUUCGGUAGAUGACAAGAUGCGGGAAGGAAGACUGAGAUGGUUCGGGCAUGUGAUGAGGAGGAGCGCGGAUGCCCCAGUCCGGAGGCGUGAGAGGCUAGCUUUGGAUGGUUUCAGGAAGAGUAGAGGUAGGCCGAAGAAAUACUGGAGGGAGGUGAUUAGACAUGAUAUGGAGCAGCUCCAACUGACGGAGGACAUGACCCUAGAUAGGAAGGUGUGGAGGUCACGAAUAAGGGUAGAAGGUUAAUGGGAGUGUGUGGGUUGUAGCUUGCAGUCUGGGGUGUUAUGGUGUAGCCGGGUUAGUAAUCCGAGGCUUGUACAUAGGUGUCCUUGGUUUGUGUGUGUAUGGUAUGACUAGGUGAGGGCCCUAUGUCUUAGUCCCUAUUUUCUUUUUUCGUGUCGCUCUUAUUUUUGCGUAUUUCGUAUUUCUCUGAUUUCCAAUUUACUAUUUCUUAUUCUUGAUUUUAUUAUGUCAUCCAUCCACUUGUUACUAUCCUUUAGCUUGAGCUGGGGGUCUAUCGGAAACGGCCUCUCUACUUCUUCGGAGGUAGCGGUAUGGUCUGCAUACAUCUUACCCUCUCCAGACCUCACUUUGUGGGAAUACACUGGGUUUGCUAUUGUUGUUGUUGAAGAGGCGCCAUUCAUUCAAGUCCAACACACCUUGGCAGCCCUUUCAUUAAGGGUAUUUUGGACAUCGCACAUGGUGUAUUUACACACCAUGGCAGCCCCUCUCAUUAAGGGCAAAGUGAUCUUUUUGUCUUCUUUUGUAAUAUACUAUAAGUAGGACUUUUUAGGUCUUCUCUCAUUAGUUGUUGAAUGAUGAAAAUAUGAGACAUUGAUAAUCCUCUCUCUUGAGAAUAGACCACCUUAGUGUAUUUCUUAGUUAAGGCUUGGACUAGCCAUUGUAGCUUAGGGCUUGGAAAAGCCAAUAUUGUUCUUUGCUUGGAAACGGUGGAUCUUGAGGUGAGUUGAUUCCCUUGGCGGUCACUGUAAGAACUUGGUGCUUGUUAACGUAUUUUGUAGAGGUUUUAGAGUUUUAUACUCUUUAGUUGCUACAUUAUGUGUUCUCUUUGUGUCAAGUUACCUAUCUUCUUUUUCGUUUAAGUUUGUGUUUGUUGUUUCCGUUUGGUGGCUUGUCGUGUGGACUGUUUUGCGAAGAUUGUGGCUGUUUUGUGCUCAGUUAGAUACCGUUUGGUAUCAUUUGUUCCUUUAGUUCUUGAUAUGUAUGUAUACACCCGUCAGUAUCAUGCAGCAGUUGAAUUACAGGCAGUGGAAAAGAGCAGUUCAAAUUUUCAUAUGUUGAAUUUGAGUCCAAGAAGUGGAAAGGGCCAGCAAAACCCUGUCAAUUUCUCUUAUGGACUUCACCAUGCAGUUGGAAGUGGAAAGGGCCAAAAGGACCCUGUCAAUAUUCCUUAUGGACUUCACAAUGCAACAAGUGAAUCCAGGACUGGAAAUUCCAUAUUUCCUGUGGUUCAAGUGCAGUUCAAGGGUGCUUCAGAAGGACUACUGUACUCUGAAGCUACCAAAAAUAGGGUUAAUGGAAGUCAUAUUCCACCUGGAGAACCUGAGUGUAAAUCCCUUACUCUAAAGUGCGACCAAAUUGAUUUUCAUUGUGCUAGAGGUAAGAUGACUAAUAAGGAAUUCAAUGUUGGUGCUUCAUGUGCUCUUGGACAUGGGAACAUCGAUAAAGGUGUGGCCAACAAUAUUGUUAAUUGACACAGUGCCUCUGAGUUGAACUUUGGACUCUACUCCAGGUAUUACGAAAAUAAAAGGACUGUUAAGGGAAUUGUAGAAGGGAUUGGUCAUAGCAAUUGCUUGGCCUUACAUGAGAAGAACCUUCUUUCCUGCAAGCCUGUGGUAGGAUGAUAGAUAUGCCUGAUGCUCAGAACACCCUUAAUUUGUAUGGGAAGACAUCUUUAAUUUCUCAUAGUGGACCCUUUGAUAAUGGUAAUAUGAGAUCUGUCUGCAAACCAAUGUCUAGAACAGCUCCACCUUCACAGGCAGUUCCGCUGGGGUUUCCAUUAUCAAGUUCAACUCUAAUUGGAAAUCAAAAUCUACAAUUAUCUAGCAAAGAGAGCUCGACGUUGGGAUGAGCACCAUGAGGUCUCAGGUUCAAUUCCCACCAGAGACAAACACUAGGUGUUUUCUUCCCAUCUAUUCUAGCCUUGGUGGACAGAGUUACCAGGUAGCUGAUGCUGGUGGGAGGUGACAGGUAUCCCGUGGAUUUAGUCGAGGUGUUCGCAAGCUGGCCCGGACACCACGGUUAUCAACAAAAAAAAAAGAGCUCGAAUGGAAGGCAGAUUAAACUCAACGAGAAUCAAAGAACGCAAAGCUUGUAUCAUGGGUUGGAUUUUCCUACUCCUGCUCUUGUCAGUUCCUCUACCACAGUCACCAAAGAACAUAUGCUAUGCAGGAAUCCUUUUGACAAAGUGCCAACAUCCAUAAGCCAGUUAUAUGUACCCAAUGUCGCAAAUAUGCUACAUGCAUCUAAGACUGCAGCAGCUUCUGCCUUCUCUGGGAUUAGUGAUUAUAUGGGAAAGCAUAUUUAAGUUAUGGCUCCUAUUACUGGUAAAGGACUGAUGUUUCCUUUUCAUCUAUUCUAAUGUAUCUUGUUUGAUUUGUAAUUGUAAUGACUAGGAAGUUUAUGAGCAUACAGAUCAGCUUGGAGAUUUUAAAUUUUCAUCUUUAUCACGUGGAAGAUUGCCGCGUGCUCAAGACUCAGGAGUGUACUGUGAGCUUUCCUCUGAUUUUAAUGCAGUUCAGUGGCCUUACCUAAGGUCCUGAAAGUAAUAUUUCUCCAUCAGUUGUGCAAGCAAAUUGCUUUCAGGUUGCAGCAAAUUCAUUUAUGUCUUGCCGCUGUAACUGUGCUGUUCAGCCGGACUGUUCUGUUGAAAAACAUAAUUUCAUUGGCGAACCUCUGGAUACUACUCGGAUAGAACAGAGUGGAGUUUCUGGCUGCAUUAAGAAUUUAUUUGAUUUAACUUAAGCAAUUUCCAACACUCCUCCUUGCUUUAGUUACUGCGAUUUAAAAAACUGCUCCUCCUCAAUUUUUGCUCCGGUACGAAAUGCUGAAUUUUUAAUUUUUUUUUUUUUUUGAAUUUGCACUUUUUCUUUUUGAUAUUGAACUUUCUCUUCUUUCUUUUGAUUCUUUGCUGGAAAAACACCAUUAAAAAUCUUGUUUUGUUUGAAAGAGCUUUCAUCUUGACAAUUGUGGGAGUUGCAAAAUGUUGUUGUAAGAAUUUUUCUUCUUUCACAACAUCAAAUAAAGCAUAAGUUUUGAAAUUUAAUUUUAUUUUCACUGACCAAACUUGAUAUUUUUCGCUAGUGAAAAUAUUUGGGGCAUUCAAUGAGAGACUGCUGCUUGACAUUUUUUUGGUCGAAAAUAGCCUAAUGCUUUAAAAAUAAGUACGAGUUGAAAAAGGUAGCCCUAAUGGGUUAAAAUGGAGCCCUUACGGGUUAAAAAUGGUAUGGUAGCGCUUUGGAAGAACUAACAGAUCCCGUAAGAUCAAUGAGGCUCUUGAUACUAAUGUUGGUUUUUUUAAAAAAAGAUGUGGCAGCGAAAAAUGGGUUUAAAAUGGCUCUCAAUGGAUUGAAUAACUUUCAAUAGCUUUCAAUAGUAUUCAAUGAUUUUAUUGAACAUCAAGGGGCUUUAAAUAGCCACCUUAUAAUAGAAAAAUCAGCAGCAUUCAAAAUUUAAACUAACUAAAAUGUCUCAACAAAUCAAACAACCCAACUUAAAUUCAAAAUUCAAAUUCAUCCUAAAUUAACUAACUUAUUUUGCUAAAAACUUGUGCAGUAACUUAAGCAAUUUCCAACAUACUCUAACAUGCAAGGAACAGACAACAGGUUUCCUGAACAUGAAUGAAAAAAUGAGGGGACAAAGUGCGGAUGCUGGUGGAAACAAACCCAGUUGUGAUGUAGCUUUUCAAAUGUUGAAUGUCUAAAGGAGCCAGAAAUAUCCAGUGUUUCUUCUCGAGGAUCGAGUAUCUGCACCUGUUGUUACUGAGGCAUCUGCGCUGAUUCAUGACAAUGAGUUCUCCACUGCUAAUUGUCAAAAGACUCUGGCUAGUAAUGUUGUAGUAGAUGAAGGAUCAGGAAUCAACAGAUGCUGGUCAUCUAAUGAUGCACAAGGCAGUAAACAAAGCACAGUGUUUCUUGGUAUUGCUUGCAAAUUCAACCCCAUGGAUGCAGGACCAUCCAAAGGGUUUGCUGAUAAUUCUGCUUGUAGUCUGAUUGAUGAACUUCGAUUAAGAGAUUCCUUAAAAUUGAAGAAAAUGCAGAACCAGUCUAGCUUCAACAUUCAAGAAAAGAGCCAUCGUAUUCAGAAAGUAGCUGAUUUCUCCAAAAAAGUGACUAGAAAAAGAACCAAAUGGAGAAAGUUGGAUACAACACUUCCUGCUGUCUGCUCUGCUUGUGCCUAUCCUGAGGGCACUUGUGGUUCUGGUUUGCAACAUUCGGGCAAUGAUAAAAAAGGUGCCCUACUAACUGAUAAUGGAAGUGCAGAAAAAUGUGUAUAUUCCAUAGAACCAAGUUUCAGAGAAAGGAGGGCCAGAAUGCGUUCAUUGAGUACUCUUUCUUGCAAUGGUAAAGUUAAUUACCAUGAUGCAAAAGCUUUUGGUACUCGGGCAAAUCUUUUGAUGAUGACGAUACCUUUGCAACCUGUGAAUUACCAAGAAGAAAGAGUCGGAAAUUGGAUAUUGCAAUGCCUGUUAGGCAGGCAGAUGAGGGAUAUAAGUGCAGUUUGGUAGAUACCUCUCCAUUUCCUGAGAUGCAUGAGAAGGUUCAUAGAAGGGCUGUAAGACCUAUAGUGGGGGGCAAAUAUGGUGUAAUUUCUAAUGUGAAUCCAUCAAAACCAGUCAAAUUUGUUUCUCUAAGAAAAAUUUUGCGACCCAUUGGAAAAGUGUAACUCCUCUGGAAACUACACUGCAAAAUUGACUUCAGUAAAAUUCAGGAAGGCAAGUACAAAAGGAAAACAUCGACCCAUUAACAAAUCUUCAAAACUCAAGAAAGUCGGAAGUUGUAAUGCUAAUUGUGUUGUAACUGCCGAAAAAUCUAAAAGUCAUCUCUUGACAGCUUAGCGAAUUGGAUCCUCGCCAAUCAUUAGAGCAAUCCAAAAGAGCGCAUUGUCAUGGAGGUGAACAAGGGACUCACUUAUUCCAUUCUCUAGAGAAGAGGUGGUCUGUUUGCCUAAUAGAAGCUGGUAAUAUUGCAGAUGAUUCUCUGCCAACUUCACAGAAGCCAAAGUCCAAGGGGAUUCACAAAAGGGGCCUUAAUGAGUUGACACUUCAAGGUAUUCAUCCAGGAGGAGGUUCUACCUGUGCUCGAACAGAGGGAUACAAGGGCCUCAAAAAGGAAGGUGUGCGGUAUAAUUCUCCUCAGUAUUCUGAGUCUGAUGGUGGAUGCUUUGUUGCCCAGGAGCAGCUAAAUGCCUGGAUUCACAUUACUGGACAAAAUCCAUCUAGACAGGAGAUCCUGAGGCUUCCACCUAAAGAUGCUGAAUAUGAUUAUCGGAAGGAAUAUGCUCGUUAUAAGCACUCCAACAGGUGGAAGAGUUUGAUUGUGUAUAAAUCUGGCAUUCAUGCUCUUGGUUUUUACAUGUCUAGGUUUAUUUCACAAGGCGAAAUGGUCUCAUCUGUCUCUACUCUCUUCCUCUGAAUUUGAUUGAUCAAGAGCAUAUAGUUGAUGCAACCCAAAAGGGAGGGAUUGCUCGAUUUGUGAAUCAUUCAUGCCUGCCAAACUGCGUCGCCAGAAUCAUCUCUGUGAGGAAUGAGAAGCAGUAUUUUUUUCUGAGAGACAUUUAUCCUGGAGAAGAGAUUACAUAUGAUUACAAUUUUAACCAUGAAGAUGAAGGCAAAAUAAUCCUGUGACUGUAAUUCAAAGAAUUGCUGGCGGUAUUUAAACUGACAGGUUGAUACUUGUUCGUUCGUUCAUAAUCUGGGAACCAAUUCAAGUAUGUGGAUGUAAUGUAAUUAUUUGGCCUCUGCAGAAUUACGUGCUAAUAUUCUCGUGAAACGCCAGCGCCAAUGUCUUCACGGAUGUUUAUAAUCUUGUACAUUCAUAUGUAUGUACAUAAAUAUUUUUAACAUCUAGAUCUGCAGUUUUCUCGGUU
Molecule: long non-coding RNA, 6484 nt
Organism: Capsicum annuum
Lineage: Eukaryota; Viridiplantae; Streptophyta; Magnoliopsida; Solanales; Solanaceae
Exons: 9
Source: RefSeq, a predicted model, not a curated record